Dromaius novaehollandiae (emu) is the source of this 17120-nucleotide long non-coding RNA. RefSeq lists it as uncharacterized. The transcript has 5 exons. NCBI's taxonomy places the organism in Eukaryota, Metazoa, Chordata, Aves, Casuariiformes, Dromaiidae. The record is from RefSeq and is a predicted model, not a curated record.
UCGCCCCAACGCACGCGCGCACGCACGGACACACGGUCCUUGUCCCGCUGCCCCGGUGUCGCCGAGACGCGGGGAGGGAAGGCGCUGCCCUGCGCCCCCCCCGCCGCCGCCGCUUGCAGAAAGGAGAAGCAGCGGAUUUCUGCCGGGCGUUUGUGAUUUAGAAGGAGCCGAACGGCCCUGGGUGAAUGCUUCGUCUAUGCCGAAGCUGAAGUCCCAUCCUAGGUAAAAAAAAACCUCCUGCGCCUUCUCCCCUGAGUCACCCAGGUUAAGUGAAACAUGCACUGCUUACACCAGCUAAAGUCAUUGAUCAGAGGAGGGAAAGGUCUGACAAAAAUGGGGUUGGCAGCCACUCUGCAAAAAUCCCGCAUUGUGUAAGAAGCCAGUACAAUGAUCGAAUGUCACUGAGAGACAGCUGGCCUUUCCUGCUCUGUUUCCACUUGGCUAUUGCUGGUGUUUUGUAUGUAAAGUCAAGGCCAAAAUAAACAAGAAUGAGCUUUGGCCAAGUCGGGUUUAUGCAUCAGGCCAAAUGAUAUGCAUGGAUUUGUGGCCAUAAUCAUCGUAUGUGUUGCAAAAAAGAGUUUUGAUGUCAAUGCUUUCCUUUGACAUGGGCAAAGAAGAGAAGGAGGAAAAUGAAUACUUCAGGCCUUAUUCUGUUUGCGCAAAGCUGGAGUCGUACCUCUUGGCUGAGAUGAGUGUGAAAACGUUGUGUGAUGGCUUCUUUGAUGGCUCUUAAGGGAAACAUCUGGUGUGUGUCUUACGGACAAAAUCCAAGGUGAAAAGCUUGUUCAAAGCAAAGUGAAAAGCCAUAUGAGGGGCCUGAGGAAGAGUUUUACCAUCAUGAACAGUCCAUAUCAGUAUUACCAGUGAAGGCUGUGGCUGGGACAUCCACAUCCUUGCCAUCAAGCAGCUCUCUGAUCUGGAUGAGAUUCUUCUGCUUCACCACUCCUUGUGCUUUGGAUCAUCUUGCCUGAAGAACCAAUCUGUGGGAAAGGAAGAGCAAGGCUAAACAUGCAGCCCAAAUGCCAACGGCUCAGCUGAACACCCUUUCAAGGAGACCAUGACUUUCAUGUUUUUGGCAAGCAGAUGUGAGGAAACAAGUGGAAUAGAUGAAGUUGUGGAAUAUGAGUUAUUUCAUGGAGAUGGUCUCAAGACCAGUUACACCUAAGAGGUAAAUGCAUUGAGAAUGUUAUCAGAGAUGCUGUUCUCACUCAGUCACUUCCAGACAAAAGACAGACUCAGUUUGCUAAACUGAAGAAGGGGUUGCUUUUUUAUCUAGCAGUUUCUGCUGCAGAUGCAAUACUUGGCUUUGCACCAAGCCGGGCAUGCAUCUGCCCCUCAUUAUCACCAGUAUGAAUGAUGCAGUCAGAUGAAGCGAGACGAGCUUUUAUUGUAUGGUGCAUCAAGCAGAAAGGAAUCCUUCUGAAAUAUCAGGAUGGGUAUAUUGUAAGGCCUAAAUGGGCUGCUAUGUCAUUUGUUCUGCUCUCUGCUAUCACUCUACCCACAGCCUUUCAGACAGUCACCAGUACUCUGAGCCCUCUAAGUGGAGUUUCGCUGAGGGAUCUCCUCCAGAAAACCAUCCCAACUUCAUGCCAAGGCUUCCAGGGAUGGCAGAUUGCCUUCUCAGUGCCUUUCCUUGAAAUGCAGCACCAAUCGAUGGUUAAUCACCUGAAGCAUUAGAAAAAUAAAUAAAUAACCCCCCCCCCACCCCCAAAACAGCCCUUUUUUCUGGGGGGGUUGUGGGUCACCUGGCUUGGAUGUACAACCACUGGUCCUUGCGUCGAAUUUCUCCAACAACAUCCCACACUCAAGGAACAGGAGUGCCUGGAAAGUGCAUGAUAGGACCUCUCCUCUUCCAUGCAGCUGUGGAAAUGCCAGCCUUUGGCUACCUGAUGAGCAGGUGAGGCAGGUAUGCUCCGCUUGUUGUUUGCUCUGCUUGACAUAGGCCUGACCCGAGCUGAUGAUGUGAGCCUGGACUAACGUGGCUAGAACUGAAAUCUGAGUCUGGGCUCUGUAGAAUGACUGACCAGUUCCCAGAGGUCCAAACCUUGUCGCUGAGAACAAAAUCACAGUUCCUGUCUGUAUCAGAGUUCAGGAGUCACAAACAUCAGCAUCAGCUGAAGACACGCCAGUCUGCAACAGUGCUGGGCCAGAGUCCACAGGGCAGCAUGGCUAGGACUGGGGAAAUGUAGCUCUAACUUGCACCGAUUUGUGCUGAUCCCUCAGCCUCUGUGUUGGGUAGAAAUCACCAGACUGUCUUCUCCUGCUCCUGCACCGUUCUACUGUGGGGACAAAGUGGUGGGUAGGUGAGUGCAAAAGGGAACAGGGUAAGCAUAGCAAGCUCAUCUCUUUACCAGGCGAGGUUCCCCUCAUGCCAGUGACUGAACUGCAUUUCGGUUAAUUCACCAUGGCUUUAUCUUCCCUGCAGAGCAGCAACUGAUGUCACGUUUGACUUGUCCUCUUUUCAUCCUCCCUACAAAGGGUCUUCUGUGGUUUACCAUCUUUUGAAAUAACAUCCUGACUUGAGAGAGAUGUUUCUGUAGAUUUUACGUGUGGUUACCCCGCCUGUUGCUCAUCACAUUUUAGUUAUUUCAGCAAUUUCUGCAUACCACUGAACAACCUCAUUCCCACCAUAGGGCAGAAGUACAUAUCUCAAGCCUGUAUACCUUCCUCCAUAUCCUCACGGGUAUAUUUUACCCCAAUUUUUCUAACUUCCUCUCCUCCUCCAGGUGCAUGACAGACUGAUGAUGUCUCUGGCUGCAUACCUGGGUUGGAAUAUUCUUGUCCUUUUUUUUGCAUUGCCAUCCAAGGCACAGUCAGAAUUGAGGAAAACUCCAGUCCAGAGAAAUAAGGAGACUUGAAAAUCAACAGUUGCAAAAGAAGAGGAGGAACAUUGCCAGUGUUCUCAGGUGGGGUUAGGCUUGUGAGGAAGCUGGCCUGCUGCUGUGUGGAAGGUUCACAUUGCACAGAAGAACCGGUAGGCAAAAUAUCCUUCCUCCCUGUCUCCCACCCCAAUUUUAAGCUGGAAGUGUUCAGAGUGCCAGUGUGUGGCAGUCUUGAUUUUGACAAGUGGCAGAAGGCUGCCGUCAGCCAAAGGCUGUUCUGAAACAUGUUGGCAUGGAAGAAUAUGGUCUUUAUUUUGUCAGCAUUAGGAAAGAAAAAAGAAUCCAUCCAAAUCUGCUUCAAUUGCAGGUAAAGGUAGAUUCAGUCCACAGCAGAAAUAGUUUAAAACUGUAGUUUUUGAAAUAAGGGUAUACUUUGGUCAUGGAAGUGGGAUAUCAUGUCUGUCCAUCAUAUCUACCAACCCUACGGAGGACAGUCUUUUGAAUACCCAAGGCAUCUCAGAUACCGCCAGGCACCUGUGUUUAGCCAACUGACCCCAAACCCUAGAGUUAAAUGGAAUGACUUCCACCUUUAAAAUCAAGAAAGUUGAAUCUGAUCCCUACAUACCAAAGAAAGUCUGGACUUUAUUCUCUCUCCAGUUCUGAUCCUCAUAUACAAAACAAGACAUUUUAAUAUAUAAGCUACAUAAAAUACAUAAAAUAAAGAAAUGUAGGUGAAGGAAGAAAGACCUUUGACUUAAAAUCUCUCAGUUCCUAUAGCAUCAAGGCUCUAUGGUUUUGUUUGGAGAUUUUAAUAGAAGCUAUUUCAGUUCCAACAUGAACUUGCUGAAUGUUCACUCAGGCUGUGACUAUACUAGGGGAUAAGAUGGGCCAGGAACAAUUCUUUGACACUUAAGGCAGCAGUACGACCUGCCUCACAUCCAUGCAGCUGCACUUUUUAGCCGCCAAAACUGGAAGACUGUGUCAAAAACGUCCAUCGGCAUGGUCCCUGUUAUGUGCUAACCCCAAAUCAUGCCCGAGUAUGGGCUGGGACAGUGGUAGAUGGCAUAGGCCCAAAUUAUGCCAUGGAUUGUGCUAUGGACUGGAUGACAGCGUGUCUUUCCUUGAGAACAUGUCCUGGCCUGGUCUGACAGCUCCUGGAAUACCAAAAUCAUAAACCUGUUCCUUGUGUAUUACCAUAAAAAGUCAUAAAGUGGGGCUGAAGGGUGCAUGCGUAGAUUGCAAGAAAAGAAAACUCCUCAGGUUUUAGCUUCUUGAACCAGCAAGGCCUUCUUCAGGUUCAAAGGUGUGGAAGGUGUCCAUUACAACCAGUCUUGGUCCUGUAAUGAAUCAACAGCAACUGCUUCAUUCAUAGCUCUUUGAAAGGACUUUCUUGGUGUCUUUCAUUUCUGAAGCAUUAAUGAACUGACCCACUAAAUUAAUCCACAAGGAGAGGAAGAGUUUGCAUGAAGAAAUGUUGCCAUAUUGUCAUGGUUCUUAUGAAGAAAUGGCCCAGAAGGAUGUGACAUAUUUUGUAUGUCUUGAGAGUAACAGACCAUCUGAAAGAACACAGCAGCCCUGCCUCCUGGCCUGCUCUCCCUGUUCUUCAUUAGCUAAUCUUUCUUGAGAGGUAGGGGAAAAAAAAUAACUAGGUCAAGCAGUGAAGAAUGUCAUUUCUCUAGGCCACAUUUAGUGACCAGAAUAUGAAAUUUCUGCUGAAAUAAAAGCCAAAAUAUGUGCAGAUCUCUCACUGAGAAAGAAUUGAUUAAGACCUAGAAGUGAUGUCUAUGAUGGCAUCUUAAAUUUCUCUUCUCUCAGGGGGUGGCAUCAUAGGAAAUGGGUUCUGUAAUGUUCAGGGGAAGGAUACCAUGUUACUGGAAAGUGCUGCACGUGGGGAGGUGCCUUGUAGCAGCACUGCUUUCAGAACAAGGUCCUGCUCAUUUGCCUCUCCUCUGCCAUUGCUCUUCACUGGAGACUCUUCACUGGGGACUCUUUACUCCAUGACCUGCUCAGUAGCUCUCAGAAAAGGCCAGCCUGUUGAUUGGGGAAAAUGGGGCUAUGAUGCUGAGGAAAGAUAUGCCAACAGGUGAGAUUCAGGAUGGGCUGGGGGAACGGAGUGGCAUGGAGGCAGGAACAAGAGGUGGGACCUGUCUUUCCACGAUACAGCAGGUCACUCUUCAGUGCAUGGAUUUUGGCUAGAAACCAGUAAGUGACCCUAUUUCAGUACAGUAGUGUGGAAAUGGCAUGCCAUCGAGAAUGUCUCAAGGGACACCUGGAUGCUCUGGGCUUCCUAAACAUGAUUACUGAGUGUUUUGUGUCCUGUUGUGUGCACACAAGACAAAGCUGUUCCUUUUUACUGUUGGAUGUGAGCCUGGCACUCAGGGCCUGAAGGAAAUGGCAUGCUAUCACUGCAGAAUCUCUCCUCAUUUAGCUAUCUGUGGGGGAGAGAUGAUGGCUGUCUGAAGCACCCUUCAAGAUAUCAUUAGCUAAGUGACAUAUCAAAGCUGGUCUCAAGGGUCUUUGAUUUUCCAUCUGAGAGGAGUGCCCGCUUCUACGGAAAAACCGUGGAAUAUCACCUAGGCAAACUGGAAAGUGCCUGGAGGAAAGUCAGCAGAAAAGAAUGAGAGAUAUCAAACAUGGCCUGGGAGGAGAAGGUGAAAGAAAUGAAUUUUUUCAGUCUUCAAAACUGAAAGAUAGUAACGGCCUCCUCUUUAGUUACAGGGAAUAAUAGCUUACACCUCUAGGACCACGUGAUGGACUCAGAGAGGGAUGUUCAUCGCAGGAAAGAGAUACUUACAGUUAGACAAUUGAAUUUCCUGUACCUCACUUCAACAUCUUUAAACUAGGGAGAAUGCUGGAUGCUUUGGUCUUGUGCAACAGAAAUAUAAUGUCAUAUGUGCAGUGUCUUUCUGCCUAUCUGUACUAUAUCUAAUAAUAUGACUGUCAGGACCCUAAAAUACCAGUGUGAUAUAAAGCUACUAUUGCACUCUUCAGUUUCAUUAAAUCAUCAGCAUGAGGACUUCAUGAGCAAAAAUCCGUUUUGAGUCCAGUGCAAAACCUGCCAUGCUGUUCUUAAUUUCUGUUACAGGUCUGCAAAUCUCUGGAGCCAGCUAUCAUGUGAGAUAGUUUCAAGACAAUGAAAAAAGUUCUGAGCUGCAUUAGAAAGUCUGUCUGAAGUUGAAGUAUUUUUUUCUCUUUCUCCUCAGAAACUUCUUAGUGUGGGAAUAAAAUUGUCUCCAGAGAUGCUCAGAGUGGGAAUAAAGGUACGUGACUGAACAUAAUAGAGUUAUGCAAGUAUUUUAGGAUAGGAAUGGAAAACUAGAGCUGAAAAGUUAGUUACAAUGGAUCUGGGUCCCAACGCUCCCCUCUCCCCCCCAAAAAACCUAAUCAGCUAGAAAAGAAUCUCUGAAUAUGUGAGAAAUAAGAAAAUAAGAAGUUAGGAUAAGCUCAGUAGAAAUGAGCCCACAGAAGACAAAUAAUCUGAAACUUCUUUUCUUUUAUUUGCAUUAAAAAGUAUUUUUUUAUGAUAAGAUACUUAAGAUAAUAAAUUUUACCUACAAGAGUGGAAGAGGAGACAGUGCAAGAAGAGAGUUCGUUAAAGAAUACCUCAGUAGAUUAGAUACAGUCAAUUCAACUGGCCAUGACACGAUUUCCCCUUGGGUACUAAUGAAUCAGCUGAAACAGUUCCUGUACUGUAAAUAAUUCUAGUUAUGAGAGCUUAGGGAGGGAAAGCAAGUCUCAGGCAACUGGAGGAAGGCGGAGAUAUCACCUAUCUCCAUACAGAGAAAAAAAGGAGGAUCAAGACAAUUACAGAUGAAGUGGCCUGCUUUCAGUUCCUUGCCAGAUACUGGAAUUUGGUAGUUACCUAUAAAUUCAUAAGCACCUGGAAGUACUACGAUGGUGAUGAAAAACAACUAGUAUGGAUUUGUCAAGGACAAAUCAUGUUAAAUCACUGUCUUCCCAGUUUUGACAGGAUGAGCAGGUAAGGAAGCAUAAAGAGAAUAUGUUAUGUCUUGGCUUUGAAAAAGCAUUUGGCACUGUUUCAUAUGAUACUAUGUUAAGUAAACUAGGAAAUAUUAAGGUAGGAUUCAUCUUCCCUACAUUAAAUGUGUGUUAAGUAUCUGAUCUGAGCCAGUCACCCUGAUGCAAAUAAAGGUGCUUUUACAGGCUAGUUAAUCUCACCUACCUUAUGAUGGGACAAAUUGCAGCCUGCAGGUCCCCAUUUCUCUCCUCUGACUGUAAAGAGAGACUAGGUUUACUAGCUCAGAAUUUCUCAUGUCUUUUAGACACUCGACUUAGGGCAUAUGAAUCUUUCUCAGAGUCUAAAUCAGUGGUAGAUCUUUUUUAAUUUAUGUCCUCUUAAAUAUUUCCCUCUGGAGGGAAGAUCAUGACUACUGUCAUGACUACCUAGUACAGAUUUGCUGCCAGCUGGGAAGAAAAUUAAAUAGUCUCCUUGGGAUGUGGGUCUUAUUUAACAUUUUCCUUAGUAACUUCAACUUUAACAGGCCAGGAGUCUGCUAAACAUCAGGUAGGAAGAUGCAGCAAAGUAAAGGACUGAACCUAAGUUUCGUGGGUCUAAGCUUGGUGCUUUGGUCUGAAGACUACCUUUGUUCUUUGCAAUAGGAAUUUCCAUUAGCUGGGUCCUAAACCCGCGCAGGAUUAUACUUUAAGCUUUCAGUAAAUAGUUCUUUCUCCUCCUUUCCUCCCCUCCCCCUUCCCCUUCCCCUUCCUUCCUCUCAUGUACCUUAUUACAUCUUAUUCUCACUAAAACAACAACUCUGUGUCCCUUUGCUCUGUGCUGGAACAUGAUGAGACCCUGCAAUAUCUAAGAUACUGCAUUUACUCCAUGCGGUAUAACAUAGCAGAGGAACCCUGUGCAUUCAGCAAGAUUUCACCAAAAGAAUAAUGUUUGUAAUAAGAAUAAAAUGCAUUUAAACACCAGACCCUUCUUCCUUCCUCCAGAAGCUCAUCCCAGUCCUCUGAUAUGGUAAAUAACUCUAUUUUUUUGUUUCAACCAAUUUUUUAGCUUUUCUUUUUCCAAGAAGCUCUUUUCAGUUUCUGGUCUAGAAUGCUAUAUGGAAAUAAACUUCUGCUUCAUGGGGGAUCUUAGAGUAUGGCUAGAUCCUGACACUCACUGUACCUUUGAGUAUUUUUCUUUCUUUCUUCUUUUUUCUUUUUUUUCCUGUUUUUUGGCAAAUCAUCCUUUUUCAUUCAAAAGUGCUGCUGUAAAAUAUACAGCAUGGUAAGAGAUUUCCUGUGGGACUUUUACCAAAUUGCUUAGGGUGGAAUAUAUCCUGUUCAACUUGAGCUUCAUGAAAGUCAGCUAGGUAGUUUAAGAUUAGUGUUCAGGCUUAUCUGAGGUGCAUACGAGCUUCCCAAGGGCAAUUCCUAGACACUUCAGAUGUGUAAAUCAGCCUAUGAAGGUGCUGAUAUUGUUCCAUAGAUUAGAGAGGGAAUGUAAGGCUAUAAUUUGACUGAUUUAUUUUAGUUGCCAGCUUUUGGGUACAAGAAAAAUGGACAAAUAGACUUCAGGUCUGUGAUGACUAUGGAGGAGCCCUGAGUGACCACCUCAGAUGUAGACAUCUGCACUGUAAAAGUCUAUGUUUAGACCACAGAUCCUUGCUCCUUUAAAAGAUGGAAGUUUGGGUUACCUAGUCAAAAUAGUGGCAGCUCAUCCUAUGCUGAGAUGAAUCACCUUUUGGAGAUAUCAUUGAACCAUCCUUCCAUUGAACCAAGAACCAAGAUAACUCAGUUAAACUAGACCAGGUUACCCAGGAACAGGUCAAGUGGUGGUGUAGAUCAGGAAUGGAAGUCUAGUCUUUUGGAUUUCCACAGAGUAGCUGGACUAGAAAAAUCUCUGCAUCAUCAGUUUUAAUGAAGCUAGAAUCUCCAGCUGAAAACCCUCAUUUGUCUUGUGGGUUUCUGUCUGUUUAGCAUUUAGAGCAGUGUUUCUCAGUCUUUUUUCUGUUAAAGCUCUGUCUAUCCUUCUAAGAUAGAGAGACAUAUAGAAGAUUGGUUCAUCUCAUACUUCCUUAUUUUUUUCUAGUUGGGAAAGUAAGAAUCGUGGUGGAUAAACAAGUUACCGAGCUCCUUUAGCCAAAAUAAAUAUAACUAUUACAAAAUCAUUAUAUUACUGAUUAAUUGGAAAUGUUUUAAUUGAAAAAGCUGGCAGUCCAAAAGCACAGAUGUCUUUCUGUCUGUGUGCAUGUACUGCCACACACCUAUCAGCUGGGUAGGAAUUUCCAAAGGAGAUAUAUUGUGUGUUUCCUGGGACCUUUCUGAUCUUUUCAGGGCUACAAAUGGCUUGGGGAGCAUCUGCUAGACAGCUCUGCAGGCAGUUUUUUUCACUUACAGUGGCUUAUUUCUCAGCUGAACGACUAUACCAGAACAUCCCUAUCCAUUUGUCUUUUAUGUCUUUUGGUUGUUCCAAUUGUGUCAAGCCAGGGUUAGUAAAAGUGAGUUCCUUCAAAAGCAAGCAAAGCCUCCAACACCCUGCACCCAUCCCAAUAUAUUAUUUUAUUGCAUUUACAGCUUUUCCAUUUGUCCCUGAGGAGUCACUUUCACAGCACUCAUAACCUUGUUAAAGGAGGAAACUGAGCAGGGGACAUCUUAGCACCUCGUGCACAGAAACUGGGGGAAAUGCGUUGCAAGAGUAUGUAGAGGAUGUAUGAGCUUUUCAAUGACCUACAUUAUUAAGUCAAGCUUCUGAAUCAAUGCCCGUAAGAACUAGGUGCUCCAUAAACCUGCAGUGGAAAUAACUCUGUGUGUGUGUGUGUGUGUACGUGUGCGUGUGUACGCCCCUGUGCAUUUCUUCCUACGUAUACAGGUUCUGCACAAGGCUAAAGCAAAGACAAGGUACAGUUUUUUGUAAAAAUCAAAGAAGACCCUCUUUCCCACAAUAAAUGACAGCCUAGAGAGGACUAUAUAUUAAGUCUUUUUCUUUUCUCUGUUAAAACAAGGAUUUGGACCUGAGUGUCUCAUGUGAGUGCCUUGAUCGGCUGUAUUAGGAGCUCAGCUCACUGAUUCUGAACAGAAAUGCCCUCUCCAACCAGUAGCACCUUCCCCAAAGAAAAUUCCAUUAAUAUAUUUGCACCAGCUUUUUCCAUUUCAAAAGUGUAAUUUAUUUUUUAACAAAGAAACUCUAAAUGUGCUACUAGAAAAGUUCCAAAACAGUUCCAGUCAUUUGCCCAUACUAAUCUACAAGCUUAAAAUAUAUGAUCUGUACCAUAGAAGAAGCCAAGAAUCCUAUCUUCUUCAGUGGAUAAAAGAAGUAGUUAAUCAUCAGUUACAGUGGUAAGAUCUUACCAAUAAAUCAUUUUUGCUGACAAAAGCGGUUUCUUUAAAAUGGGAUUCUGAAAGUUAAUUACCGCUUCUUAUUGGUCUUUGAGUCUUUUUAGUUUGCCACUACUUUUAAAAGUUUUUGUUAAAAAAUAACAAAGUUUCAGAACAAUUCCUGAACAUGUUUGUAGGUUGAAAGCACGCUUUGAUGAAGUUGUAGGGUUUUUUUCUUCCAUUUAAAGGAAAUAGAAGUGUUACAAGAUAAUUCAUGAGAAAUAGAAAAUAGGUUUUCCACCGUCUGUGAAAUGCAAGUUCCUUUAUUAUUUCCUACAUAGUUUCUCCUCCUUUUUCAGCUCUAGCAGCUCUAAGAUAGGGUUACCCUUAAACUUGCUUUCUUUAGACAGUAUUGGGAGACAUAAUCAUGCCCCUUUAGCUAGCGCUACACUUCCAUGAACCGAGUUCCUGAAGACCAUAGAUGAAAUACACCAGAAUACUGUAUGGUUACACCCCAUAAACGCUUUUUUGCAGCAUGAGGAAAUGGUGGAAGUUGGCUCUAGCACAUUUCAACAACGUUAUUCAGCCAAGCAUAAGAAUAAGGGAGCUGAAUGGAAAAAUGAAAGAAAAGAAAAGAAACACACCAGUCUUUGGAACAUUUACUUUUUGCCAGGAUUUGAGGUACUUUCAGAUUAGGAACAUUUUCCAGCUUCCCUAUUAAAAACCUUUUCUUAGCUAUAAAUAGUGCUAGUUAAGCAGCAACGAGUGGCAAGUGAAAUUUCAUUUGAUAAGAAGACUUCCAAAUCAGAGAUCCCUGCUCUUUCAGCACAUAUAUAACCAUGAACAAUGAGGUCCUAUCUUUCAAGGAGGAUCAAAGGAUCUUUGAAUUGAAAGAAUUCUCACAGAGAUGUCUUUGGCAGCAUGUUCUUCUGGUCUCUCUCACUGUGCAGAAAUUAUGAAAAGAAUAAAGUUAUUUAUCGUAUUGGAAGGACCAGACUCUUGCUGUUAAAACCGAGCAUGUGGAGGCUAGUGAGGAAUUAUUCUUUCCCUUUCUUCCUUAUCUCCAGUUUUCUUCCUGUGAUCCUCGUUGAGAGACAAUGUUCGAGAUUCUCACCAGGUAAAAAUGCAUCCACUGUGGCCUAAGAAAUAAGUGGUGUUCCCACUUUUGGUUGUUAUGGAGAAAGACUAAAUAAAAAUGUUGAGGAUGACUGAGGUAGGGCUGUUCUUAGCUUGAGGCAAGGGGUGGAAUAGGUGAUGUCUUGAGGUGCCUUUCAUAUAUACGUAUGUCUAUGAUUCAGUGAUGCUUGAGUGUACACAGGGAACCGAGUCUGUGGCCAGCAGGCCGAUUUGCUCAAUUUUUUGAAUCCCUUGAAUGCCAGAUUGGAUUUUACAGGGUAAUUUGAUUUAAAAAUAUCCUAUUCAUCCACAGGAGCAGGAGACGAUUUCUAUAACAAUCUCAUCCUCUCUCCAUAGGGUUUUUACUUGGUUGAUUAUUUUUUCAUUUUUUUAUGUUCGUGCUUUUGCAGGUUUAGACAGGGAAAUUAUGUUUUCUCCCAUUCCAGGACUUCAGUAAGUCAUCAAAGUUUCCCAGUUUUCCUUUACUGAAGUGAGGGCUAUUUAAAGUAUUUAAUCUUCUUAAUCUUUUUAGUGGCAGGAAGCCAUUUAGGUGAUGUUUUUCCAAGUCCCAUGAAGGGCUGUGGAAAAAUCUGGGUGCCCAGCUCUGACUGGAGGCUAAAUGAGUCUGGUAAAAGCUGUUUACAGUAUCCCAGACUGUGCCUUGUCUGGACCUAGUGAACAAAGCAGUAAAAUAUCUCCUGGUUUCAGUGUUUCAGGACAUACUUAUUUCACGUAUCAGAGGGUGGGUGGAAGAGUGGAGGAAGAGACUGAAACAAGCUGCGGGUGUUACAGGAAGCAGGACGUAAUGAGCCAAUGAGUUAAACUCUUAUCUCCCAAGAAGUGGAAAUGAAUCAAUGUUCAUUUACUCCAGAGCAGCUUCCAUUGGACUAAAAAAGGCGGGAUUUGUGGGUCCUGGCCUGCCAGAAGCAAUGAGACAGACACUGAGUCCCUAUCCAUCUGGGUCUAUAAAAAGAUAAAUGGCUUUUUCAUUGGAGAAGUAUGAAGAAGAAGGGAACUAGCCACAACAGAUUUAUGCAGUUGCAGCUGAGAUCAUUAUUUUUUAUCACCUCUAAACCAAUUUUUCUCCAUACUUGUUUAGAACAGGUCUUGUUUGUUGCCUGUCCUCAAUAAUAUCCCUUCACACUAGGAGUUGGAUUGACUUUCCAAAAUGUAGGCAUUUAAUGCUUUUUGAGAUAUCUUGUGCUAUCCAACAUACCCACACGUGGCUAGCAGAUAGGACAAAGGAUCUAAGGGAUACCCAUGCCCUUCUGGAGUGGCAGCUGGAGGCCGGGGAGAUCCCUCAAGGCACUGCAGUUAUAUAUGUCUAUGAUCAAACAGCUGAAUCCCUCUGGCAGUGGGAUAUUGGUCCUCCAGUGAGAUGGCAGCUGCUGUUAGCAGAAGGACCUAGAUGGUCAGAGUUAGGGAAGAAACCAGUACUGUAUCCCAUUAUUAUAAACAUCAAGUCUCAGAGAAUUUUGAAUCAUAUUGGUAGCACAGUCCUGUUGUCUGAGCUCAGGCCAUUUGGGGCAACAAAGAAAGGAAAGCAAAAAAUGCUAUGCAUCGUUGGAGAAGGAGCCCUGCCAAAGAACUGAGUCCACAGGGAUCAUGGCAGAAAGCGAGACCUAAAACAACAUCUUCCAUGUGGUGUUGGCUUAACUCAAUGGAUAACGUUAAAUGAAAGAGAAGCAUUUCAUCGGUCUCCUGUUGAUGUCAGUCUCGUGUGUUGAGAUGAGAAGUUGACCUUUCUAAACUGAAAUGGUCCCCUCCAGGAAAGUUUAAAUAUUUUGACCUUGUUCCAGAGAGGAAAACAAAUGUCAAAAUAUCAGAGCCUCUUUGUGCAAGAACAAUGUCAUUGCCCCAUGUGCUGUGCAGUUGCGUUUAUUGCUUUGUUUAUUCAUGUGAUUUGAUAUUUUUCAGUGGAAAUUUUUAAAUGGAGAUGUUUGGGAUUGGUUUUGAAGACUGGAACAAGACUGAACAUAUUUCUUUGGGACUUCUUCUCUUUUCCUCUUCCUUUUCCAAAUAAUAUGAUAAAUUGAAUCCUGUCUAGAUUCCACAUGCACAUGUCUAGACUUCAUGCACACAUAUGAGUGUAUUUGCAUACAGUCACACACACGCAGUGGCAGAGUGGCAAGAAGGUAACGAACAUGAACAGAACCUUGUGGAUUCCAUACAGUGGCAGUAUGGAGAAGCGAGUGGGGAGAAAACUCAAAAAACAGAAUGCCAGAAAUGUGGGGGGGAAAGUGUCAAAGAGGAAAGGGAGAGCUGAUUGCUGCAUUCCUAUCGCUUUCAAGUAGAAACAAACCAAAAAAUUGCCAGCCAAUAUGUCGACAAGUAGUACUUUAUUCUACACCAGAACUGGAGAGUAAGCCAAUCCUUGGACUUUCUACACAUUGCAUAUCUUUAGCUGAGAGGUGAGAGACUUUCUGGAGUACAUUAAAAAACAUAAUGAAUAUUCAACAUGCUAGCAGCAUUCACAUGCUUAACUUUAGCUAUUUAAAGAUACGUUUCUAGGCUAUCACAGAUACAUAUCUUUGGGUGGCCAUAAAAGCUAAUGUUGUCUUCUUUCUCUAGUGGCUCCAGAGGGAGCUUAGAUGAUUAGUUUAAGCUAGACAACUCACUUUCAGAUGGCUAAAGUUAGGUGAAGUUAAUCCCAUUUUUGCCAUUCAUCCCCUGCUGCUGCUCAGUCUCCAGUUGAGACACUGCAUACUCAUUAACUCCAGGACAGCUUCUGGUGAGCUAAAAAAGGAAGGAAUUUAUGAUUUCAGAAGAGGAUAAACAUCAAGAUCCUUCCUCCUGACAAAUGCCCUUGGAAAAAACAGAAGGCAGGCAGUGGGGGAGAUGCUAUGUAGACAGAAGAGUCUUGAAAUAGAAAGUUGGUCCAGCAUUUCUGUGAGAUGUCAGCAAUUUUUAACUGAGCUUUGCCUGCAGAUAUUCAACCAGUUGGAACUAAUCCAUUUCCAGAAGAGGUGAAUCAGUGUCUAGCAAUUCACUAAGCCAGUUGCCCAACUGCUGGUUGCUAGAUAUCUGUAUUUCAUUGCCUUCAUGAGGGUAGAGUCCACCGGCAUGCACAAGUGCAUCCAAGGAGGCAGCCCCAAGGUCUCAUCUGAGCCGAUGAGAACAGGAACCACGGCUGUCAAGCAGAACAUCUCAGGGCAGGGCUUAAACCUUUGUCAGUGUGGGAUGAGACACCAGGAGGGAUGAGGGGGAGGGAGUGAAAAAUGCUGUCUAAACUAAAGAACAAUGUUGUUACUGGGGCAGCAAGUAUAAAUUGGCAUUGAGUAUGUUUAGGCUGCAAAGGAAAAGAUGGUCUCUGCUCAUCCAAGGGGAGAGGUUCCCAAAUGAAGUGGCAUAGUGAGGGCAGAAGCUGAGAUAGUUGUUUGAAUACAGAGCUGCAUACAUUUCCUUGUGUGUUAUAUAGUAAAUUUUUCUGAAAUAAGAAGGAGCUGAAUUAAAUGGAAAACAAAAUUUUGUUUUGCAUUGGCUUACAUUAUGGUCAGAGACUGCAGUGAUUUGCCACCAAAAGAUUGAAUGAACCUGGCGGGUUAUUCAGGUCUCUGCCUGUAAAAUGGAGUAAUGUAUUUAUCUUCAUAGGACACAAACGAUGGCCAAGAACUUAAAACCCCUUGUUUAGUACUUGAAAGACUUUAAACCUCAAUAAACUAAAAAUCCCUUUCUGUGGGACUUCCUGAAGGACAGCUACUUCAGGUGAGAUUCAACUUUUAUACUAAGGCAGCUAAAAUUAGAGGUGAGAUUCAAGCUGAGAUUCAGACAUUGAAAAGUGAAGGUGUAGUCACUGCACAGAUUAUUUUAUUUACACGGAAUCAGCCAGAAACAAAAAUCUCCUUUUGAAAAGACCCUGGUGAGAUCUUUCUCAUGCAACAGCCGCAGCAUGCCCAAAGGCAGAAGACAAGGCGUUAUGUUCAGCAUUAAAGGCAACACAGUGAGGAGCCUUAUGGUCUUCAUUCAUCGAUGAGGCACUACUUAAACACAAAGAGUAGUCUAUCUCACCUAAGGAUACAUGUCUAAAACUUUGAUAUCUGGUCAGAGUGGUCUAGGCUCCCUCUAGAGUCAGUGGAGAGAGGCAGACGUUUCCAGAAGGUGAACUGGAGAUCACCUUUUGGAAGUGCCUCUGAUCAGGUGGUCUGCGUGACUUGGGGGGAAGAAGAGCUUACAUUUUCAAUAGCUAAUGUUUGAUUUGGUAAAUCCCAUGUGACAGCUUCUGUGAUACCUGUUUUGUUUUAUACCAGUUCUUAUCUGCUCUACCUUUAAGACUGGUUCAUAAAGCAAUGACUCUGAUCUGGAAAACCCGAUCACAAACCCCAGCAUUCACUGAUAUCCAUGUUGACCAUCCCAGCACAACACCUAUUUUUCCCUUUGGUACCCAGUGAGAUGGUGUAUGGGAAUCUUUCUCUCAGUUGAUGCUGCUACAUGCUAGCGGACGGCGACCCAUUUUCUUUCACAAAAUCUAAUCAAGGAGGAUCCUUAGUGCUGGAGACUCUGGUGGUUGAUUCCUUUGGAUGGACCGUGGUUCCUGAAAAACUAACAUGACACCUCUCUAUGGCUGGUCUGAGAGGAAGAGCUAUGGUCAAGUCCUGAAAGUGACUUCUUAUUGUAAAGAUGAAAUACACUGGCAGGGUUGAGUAAGGCGGGAACGCUAUCCGAUGUCACUCUUAACCUGUUCUUUAAACAUAUGAAUUCAUCUGACCCUGCUGUUGUGUGGCCUUUAAGGAAUUGUCUAUGACUUCUAUCUUCCCUGAUGACAGACCAUUUUGUGAUUCAGGCAUCAGGCUGAAUCCAGAAAAUGCUCUAGGCUGAUUACUGAGGGUCAUAUUUGGACUGGCUACUCAGGUACCCAUGUAGAUGUGCCAGACAUUUCUUUACCCUUUUCUGUAUAAGGUAUGGGACCCACAGGCCUGGAUAGUGGGUUGGCCAAAUCACUCAUUGAUUUCUUGACCUUAGGUUUCAUAAUAUUUGUGGUACACCAUUUUUAUAUGGUCUAAAUACAGCCUUGUCUUGUAGUAAGUUGGAUUCAAUGCACUUAAAUUUAGGCAUUUAAAAGUUGGCAUCUAGUCUAAACUAGUUACGUUGGUAUUGUACCAGAGAUCGAUUCACCUCUCCUAGUGCAGGCUAAGCUGCUCUCUGGAGAAGCUGAUCUCUCUUUGUGGACUCUAGAGGGAGCCUGGAUGACUGCUUUAGUGUAGAUAUGCAAUUUCUAGAUAGCUAAAAUGAGGUGAUAUGAAACAUGACAUCUCUGUUUCUUAUCUAGUAAUUAGUAUUGUAUUUCACUACCUCAGCAAAAUGCAAUGUUCAGUCUUGGACUCUAUGCUGUUCCAGUCAUCUUCUAUGUUGUAUGUAUACUUGGAUGAGAGAUUGCUAGGAAGCAAUGUAGGUACCAUAAGCAAAACCCAAGGAUGGUGGGGAACGUUAAGCACUGAUGAAAGACUCCUAUUGCCAUUAACUUGCUGAUGGAUAGAAAAAAUGAUGGAAACUCUGGUAAAUAUUGAAGUUCUGCAUAAAUAAGGAAAAAUUCUUUAAACACUGAAGAAUGUAAGAAAGUUAUAUGUAUCAGUCACACUUAAUUCUAUCCUUCCUCAUCAAAACGAUAAAGCUUAUCACAAUUAUUUUACAGCAUUACACCUCCUUAAUAUUUUUGCAGAUAUGUUUUGCUUCUGUCCUUGUCUAGCUGCCUGUCAAGACUCUCAGUCCAUAUCUCUGUAACUUUUGAACCUGUUGCUCAAUUUUAAAUAAAUUUAACAGAUGGAUGAAAGUCCUGUAAAUAUUAAGUUACUGCAAGUUUUGUGAAAAUAGGUUGCUGGGUGGAGAAGAAAAUUUCCGGAAAAAAACUGCCCCCAAGGGAGAGGCUGCAGUGUGAGCUCAAUCACCAAAGAAACUGUAGGAUGGAGCCACAGGAAG